Molecule: microRNA precursor, 201 nt
Filed under: Oryza punctata
Lineage: Eukaryota; Viridiplantae; Streptophyta; Magnoliopsida; Poales; Poaceae
Description: MIR1435 microRNA precursor family
Rfam family: MIR1435 microRNA precursor family
Source: Rfam by way of RNAcentral
UGAUUUUUUUCUUAGUCAAACUUCUUUGGAUUUGAUCAAGUUUGUAGAAAAAUAUAAGUAACAUUUUCAAUAUAAAAUAAACAUAUUAUCAAAAUAUAUUUAAUGUUAGAUGUAAUGAAACUAAAUUAGUGUUGUAGAUGUUGCUAAUUUUUUCUAUAAACUCGGUCAAACCUAAAGAACUUUGACUAAGAAAAAAAUCAA